GAUGAACGCUGGCGGCGUGCCUAAUACAUGCAAGUCGAGCGAACGGACGAGAAGCUUGCUUCUCUGAUGUUAGCGGCGGACGGGUGAGUAACACGUGGAUAACCUACCUAUAAGACUGGGAUAACUUCGGGAAACCGGAGCUAAUACCGGAUAAUAUUUUGGACCGCAUGGUUCAAAAGUGAAAGACGGUCUUGCUGUCACUUAUAGAUGGAUCCGCGCUGCAUUAGCUAGUUGGUAAGGUAACGGCUUACCAAGGCAACGAUGCAUAGCCGACCUGAGAGGGUGAUCGGCCACACUGGAACUGAGACACGGUCCAGACUCCUACGGGAGGCAGCAGUAGGGAAUCUUCCGCAAUGGGCGAAAGCCUGACGGAGCAACGCCGCGUGAGUGAUGAAGGUCUUCGGAUCGUAAAACUCUGUUAUUAGGGAAGAACAUAUGUGUAAGUAACUGUGCACAUCUUGACGGUACCUAAUCAGAAAGCCACGGCUAACUACGCG
This 497-nucleotide ribosomal RNA is filed under the name uncultured bacterium. RNAcentral describes it as "partial 16S ribosomal RNA". It matches the Rfam family "Bacterial small subunit ribosomal RNA", at positions 28 to 507 of the family's 1533-position model. The record is from RNAcentral.